This 468-nucleotide ribosomal RNA is filed under the name uncultured bacterium. RNAcentral describes it as "partial 16S ribosomal RNA". It matches the Rfam family "Bacterial small subunit ribosomal RNA", at positions 28 to 507 of the family's 1533-position model. The record is from RNAcentral.
GACGAACGCUGGCGGCGUGCUUAACACAUGCAAGUCGAACGGAAAGGCCCUGCUUUUGUGGGGUGCUCGAGUGGCGAACGGGUGAGUAACACGUGAGUAACCUGCCCUUGACUUUGGGAUAACUUCAGGAAACUGGGGCUAAUACCGGAUAGGAGCUCCUGCUGCAUGGUGGGGGUUGGAAAGUUUCGGCGGUUGGGGAUGGACUCGCGGCUUAUCAGCUUGUUGGUGGGGUAGUGGCUUACCAAGGCUUUGACGGGUAGCCGGCCUGAGAGGGUGACCGGCCACAUUGGGACUGAGAUACGGACCAGAGUCCUACGGGAGGCAGCAGGGGGGAAUAUUGCACAAUGGGCGGAAGCCUGAUGCAGCAACGCCGCGUGCGGGAUGACGGCCUUCGGGUUGUAAACCGCUUUCGCCUGUGACGAAGCGUGAGUGACGGUAAUGGGUAAAGAAGCACCGGCUAACUACGUG